CACGUAGGAGGCGAGCGUUGUCCGGAAUCAUUGGGCGUAAAGAGCGCGCAGGCGGCUUGGCAAGUCGGGUGUGAAAUCCCGGGGCUCAACCCCGGGACUGCAUUCGAAACUGCCUCGCUAGAGUCCCGGAGAGGAAGGCGGAAUUCCCGGUGUAGAGGUGAAAUUCGUAGAUAUCGGGAGGAACACCAGCGGCGAAGGCGGCCUUCUGGACGGUGACUGACGCUGAGACGCGAAAGCGUGGGGAGCAAACAGG
Molecule: ribosomal RNA, 253 nt
Filed under: uncultured bacterium
Lineage: Bacteria
Description: partial 16S ribosomal RNA
Rfam family: Bacterial small subunit ribosomal RNA
Source: RNAcentral